This 366-nucleotide unclassified non-coding RNA is filed under the name uncultured Cladosporium. RNAcentral's name for it is "sequence contains ITS2". The stretch from base 1 to 154 matches the Rfam family "5.8S ribosomal RNA". The record is from RNAcentral. Lineage: Eukaryota; Fungi; Ascomycota; Dothideomycetes; Cladosporiales; Cladosporiaceae.
AACUUUUAGCAACGGAUCACUUGGUUCUGGCAUCGAUGAAGAACGCAGCGAAAUGCGAUAAGUAAUGUGAAUUGCAGAAUUCAGUUAAUCAUCGAAUCUUUGAACGCACAUUGCGCCCCCUGGUAUUCCGGGGGGCAUGCCUGUUCGAGCGUCAUUUCACCACUCAAGCCUCGCUUGGUAUUGGGCAACGCGGUCCGCCGCGUGCCUCAAAUCGACCGGCUGGGUCUUCUGUCCCCUAAGCGUUGUGGAAACUAUUCGCUAAAGGGUGUUCGGGAGGCUACGCCGUAAAACAACCCCAUUUCUAAGGUUGACCUCGGAUCAGGUAGGGAUACCCGCUGAACUUAAGCAUAUCAAUAAGCGGAGGCU